This is a long non-coding RNA of Symphalangus syndactylus (siamang), 821 nucleotides long. RefSeq lists it as uncharacterized. NCBI's taxonomy places the organism in Eukaryota, Metazoa, Chordata, Mammalia, Primates, Hylobatidae. The record is from RefSeq and is a predicted model, not a curated record.
UUGUUGUUUUGUUUUUCCAUAGAAGCAACAUGCAAAAAACCAAGCACAAAAUCAUAGACUUGCAACUUUCCUUGACAUUUCGACGCAGAGAAAAGGAAAUCAAUGUCCAACUCAGUGUCUACCUGCAGUAUUUCACCAUCAAAAUAACAAACAAGAAUUCAAGAUUCUAGGUGGACAAACAACUUGGAUUAUCAACAGGGAGCAGAAAACAAACCCACUAGCAGGACCAAAAGGCAGACCCAUCAGCAGAACACAGGCGGCAGCUUCAACAAUUAACUCCAAAACUGAAAGUCAAAUCCAGGAGAAGACUGAGGAAGCUCCAUUUUCUUUGAGCACUUAAUUGUAAAUUAAGAUUUGCUGAUGAUAAUGGGCUAAUUUAAGCUACCGUGGAAAGAGGAAAGAAAUGGAAGCUGCCGAUCGUAGGAAGCAGUACCUGUACUGCGAAGGGUUGCAGUGACCUAACACCAAGAAAUAAAAACUCUGGAAAACUAGCCCUUCACAUAUAGAAGGACCCUCCCAAAGAGCUGGAGCUCCUCUGCCCACAGCCUCCCCCAUCAGAUCAGACCUAUGGUAGAAUACAGCAAGGAGUAAACGCCUUGGACCACCAGCUACUACAACUCUAGAAAAAUGGAGGCACAAAUAUGUGGGUCCCAGAGCCCUGGGGGAGCUGGAAUGGAUACUUGCUAACACAAGGGACACGAGAUUCUCUUUCCUUUGGAAGGGUCCUGUCACGGCCCUUCUUGGGUUCUGGACUGUCCUACAAUGCCUGACUUUAGUUUCUGUGGAUCAUGAUAGGCAUUACUCGUUUUUUCCCCCUCAAA